CCUACGGGGGGCUGCAGUGGGGAAUAUUGCACAAUGGGCGCAAGCCUGAUGCAGCCAUGCCGCGUGUGUGAAGAAGGCCUUCGGGUUGUAAAGCACUUUCAGCGGGGAGGAAGGCGGUGAGGUUAAUAACCUCAUCGAUUGACGUUACCCGCAGAAGAAGCACCGGCUAACUCCGUGCCAGCAGCCGCGGUAAUACGGAGGGUGCAAGCGUUAAUCGGAAUUACUGGGCGUAAAGCGCACGCAGGCGGUCUGUCAAGUCGGAUGUGAAAUCCCCGGGCUCGACCUGGGAACUGCAUUCGAAACUGGCAGGCUAGAGUCUUGUAGAGGGGGGUAGAAUUCCAGGUGUAGCGGUGAAAUGCGUAGAGAUCUGGAGGAAUACCGGUGGCGAAGGCGGCCCCCUGGACAAAGACUGACGCUCAGGUGCGAAAGCGUGGGGAGCAAACAGGAUUAGAUACCCCGGUAGUC
Molecule: ribosomal RNA, 465 nt
Filed under: uncultured Klebsiella sp.
Lineage: Bacteria; Pseudomonadati; Pseudomonadota; Gammaproteobacteria; Enterobacterales; Enterobacteriaceae
Description: bacterial SSU rRNA
Rfam family: Bacterial small subunit ribosomal RNA
Source: RNAcentral